GAUCCUGCUCAGGACGAACGCUAGCGGCGUGCUUAACACAUGCAAGUCGAACGAGAAUCUGUGGAACGAGGAUUCGUCCAAGUGAAGCAGAGGACAGUGGCGGACGGGUGAGUAACGCGUGAGGAACCUGCCUUUCAGAGGGGGACAACAGUUGGAAACGACUGCUAAUACCGCAUGACACAUAGAUGUCGCAUGGCAUUUAUGUCAAAGAUUUAUCGCUGAAAGA
This 226-nucleotide ribosomal RNA is filed under the name uncultured bacterium. Its description in RNAcentral is "partial 16S ribosomal RNA". It matches the Rfam family "Bacterial small subunit ribosomal RNA", at positions 15 to 225 of the family's 1533-position model. The record is from RNAcentral.